This 567-nucleotide ribosomal RNA is filed under the name uncultured bacterium. RNAcentral describes it as "partial 16S ribosomal RNA". It matches the Rfam family "Bacterial small subunit ribosomal RNA", at positions 355 to 914 of the family's 1533-position model. The record is from RNAcentral.
UGGGGAAUUUUGGACAAUGGGCGAAAGCCUGAUCCAGCAAUGCCGCGUGUGUGAAGAAGGCCUUCGGGUUGUAAAGCACUUUUGUCCGGAAAGAAAUCCUCUGGGUUAAUACCUCGGGGGGAUGACGGUACCGGAAGAAUAAGCACCGGCUAACUACGUGCCAGCAGCCGCGGUAAUACGUAGGGUGCAAGCGUUAAUCGGAAUUACUGGGCGUAAAGCGUGCGCAGGCGGUUUUGUAAGACGGAUGUGAAAUCCCCGGGCUUAACCUGGGAACUGCAUUCGUGACUGCAAGGCUAGAGUAUGGCAGAGGGGGGUUAGAAUUCCACGUGUAGCAGUGAAAUGCGUAGAGAUGUGGAGGAAUACCGAUGGCGAAGGCAGCCCCCUGGGCCAAUACUGACGCUCAUGCACGAAAGCGUGGGGAGCAAACAGGAUUAGAUACCCUGGUAGUCCACGCCCUAAACGAUGUCAACUAGUUGUUGGGGAUUCAUUUCCUUAGUAACGUAGCUAACGCGUGAAGUUGACCGCCUGGGGAGUACGGUCGCAAGAUUAAAACUCAAAUGAAUUGAC